GGUUCUUUUUUAUUUUUUUUCUCGAUUAGAAGCAAGUAGUAAAAUCAAAUUAACCAAAACAGAGCAUGAGAUUUCACUAUAUACUUUUCAACACUUCUACAAACACUAAGGGCAGAGCCAACUACGACGAACAACACAUAUAUUCAGAUCACAAAGCACCCCCAAAUAAAAGCCAGUAAACCACCCUUCCACCAAAAAAGUUACUUCCCGAUCUUCCCCCUGAGCUUCACGCCCAGCACUUUCUCCAUCUUCGCCAAAACGGCCUGAUUAGGAACCGCCUUGCCAUUCUCAUACUCCUGCACCACCUUAGGCUGCUCAUUAAUCAACUUAGCAAGCUCCGAUUGGCUCAUCUUCUUCUCCAGCCGCGCUUUCUGGAUCGCCUGCCUUACCUCAGUCGACGCCUUUUCCAGCGCCGCCGGCUCCGUCUCUUCGUCCAACUUCCUCGCGUUUACGACAGUUGCUGCUUUCUUGUUUGAACCAGCGUCGAACUUCUUGAUUGUCUGGACCGGCGCGCCUGAUCGGAGGGCUUGGUUCACCGCCUUGUGAUCGCGCAGGUCUUGGGCCCUGGGUUUUGACUUGCGUAGCACAACUGGCUCCCAGUCCUGGUUGAUUACUCCAGUCGAUCUGCUAGGCAUUUUCUAAGAGGCACAAACAACAAAUGUAGUUGCUUUUCUAUGAGAAAGCUAUAAUCGCUUCAUCAAAACCAAGCG
RNAcentral lists this unclassified non-coding RNA (710 nucleotides) under Hevea brasiliensis (rubber tree). The record is from RNAcentral. Lineage: Eukaryota; Viridiplantae; Streptophyta; Magnoliopsida; Malpighiales; Euphorbiaceae.